Neofelis nebulosa (Clouded leopard) is the source of this 996-nucleotide long non-coding RNA. RefSeq lists it as uncharacterized. The transcript has 2 exons. Lineage: Eukaryota; Metazoa; Chordata; Mammalia; Carnivora; Felidae. The record is from RefSeq and is a predicted model, not a curated record.
CGGCGCCAUCCGCCAGAGUUCGGGCAGCUCCGCGAUCCCUGCGCAGGGAGGGCCGGGUCGCUAAAGGCGCCGGUGGGCGGGCCGGGAUUGGACGGGAGCAGAUUGAAGGUGGUGUGGAGCCCGGUGACCACUUUUCACUCAACAGAUACCUCAUCCCUUGGAUGGCAAAACUGAUAGAUGCUUUAAGUGCUGGUAGCUCUUACCAGAAUGAUUCUGAGCGAGCUACACACUGCACCUAUUUUCAGUCGCUGAUUUUCACACCAGACUCUUGCCAAACAUUGCCUGUUUAGAUCAUAUGCUGCUCGUGGAGUGCCUGCUGAGAAUUCCGGAGAAAAUCCAAUCCAAGGAAAAUAACGGCACAUCAUGCUAAUAGCUCUCAGCGAAGGUACUGUGUAGAGAAAUUCCCGGCCCGUGUCUCACUGCCAGAGGCUUAGCGGUUCCCAGCUGGAGGGAGGAAGGUGGGGCAGGACCUGCCAACUGCAGCGUGGUGGCUUGGAGGCUUUCAAGUCUCCACCAACUCUAAACAAUGUUGAGGAAGACAGGAUGCUUCCCCAGACUCUACACAGGAAUUGCUCCCAUUUGACGCCCAGCACAAGAGCAGAUGCUGCUCGAGAUAAAAUCUUCCAGUAAGCCAUAGUGUAUGCUGUGAGGAACAAUUAAAGAACAAUAUAAUUGGAGGGGAAAUUGUGGAGAGCGGACAAAAAUCCGGGACAGGAGAGGUCACUAGAGGUUACAGUCAUCAGUGAGGGCUUUAAGGCAAAUAGGGAGUUAUGUCAGAAGUUUUGUUUGUUUGGGGCGCCUGGGUGGCUCAGUUGGUUAAGCGUCUGACUUCGACUCAGGCCAUGAUCUCACAGUUCAUGAGUUUGAGUCCUGUCGGGCUCUGUGCUGACAGCUUGGAGCCUGGAGCCUGCUUCGGAUUCUCCCUGUCUCUCUGCCCCUCCCCCACUUGCACUCUGUGUGUGUCUCUCUCAAAAAUAAAUAUUAAAAAAAAUGUUU